This 253-nucleotide ribosomal RNA is filed under the name uncultured bacterium. RNAcentral describes it as "partial 16S ribosomal RNA". It matches the Rfam family "Bacterial small subunit ribosomal RNA", at positions 524 to 776 of the family's 1533-position model. The record is from RNAcentral.
UACGUAGGGGGCAAGCGUUGUCCGGAAUCAUUGGGCGUAAAGCGCGUGUAGGCGGCUCGGCAAGUCUGCUGUGAAAGUCCAGGGCUCAACCCUGGGAUGCCGGUGGAUACUGUCGAGCUCGAGUCCGGAAGAGGCGAGUGGAAUUCCUGGUGUAGCGGUGAAAUGCGCAGAUAUCAGGAGGAACACCAAUGGCGAAGGCAGCUCGCUGGGACGUGACUGACGCUGAGACGCGAAAGCGUGGGGAGCGAACAGG